RNAcentral lists this ribosomal RNA (492 nucleotides) under uncultured bacterium. Its description in RNAcentral is "partial 16S ribosomal RNA". It matches the Rfam family "Bacterial small subunit ribosomal RNA", at positions 29 to 507 of the family's 1533-position model. The record is from RNAcentral.
AGUGAACGCUGGCGGUAGGCCUAACACAUGCAAGUCGAACGGCAGCACAGUAAGAGCUUGCUCUUACGGGUGGCGAGUGGCGGACGGGUGAGGAAUACAUCGGAAUCUACUUUUUCGUGGGGGAUAACGUAGGGAAACUUACGCUAAUACCGCAUACGACCUACGGGUGAAAGCAGGGGAUCUUCGGACCUUGCGCGAUUGAAUGAGCCGAUGUCGGAUUAGCUAGUUGGCGGGGUAAAGGCCCACCAAGGCGACGAUCCGUAGCUGGUCUGAGAGGAUGAUCAGCCACACUGGAACUGAGCCACGGUCCAGACUCCUACGGGAGGCAGCAGUGGGGAAUGUUGGACAAUGGGCGCAAGCCUGAUCCAGCCAUACCGCGUGGGUGAAGAAGGCCUUCGGGUUGUAAAGCCCUUUUGUUGGGAAAGAAAAGCAGCAGGUUAAUACCCCGCUGUUCUGACGGUACCCAAAGAAUAAGCACCGGCUAACUUCGUG